CCGCUGAUCGCAGAAUCGUCGUCGCAGCUCACAUACAGGACAGACAAGGAUUAAUCUCCUUGCUCGUCUCAUCUGUUCUCGGUGCUGUGGGGAAAGUCCCCGGAGACGCGGCAGGUCAAGCCACCCACCCACCCUCGUUUGAGGGUUCCAAACUGCGAUCCGAAUGGAAAGCGGCUGCCUCUAAGCUUGGCGGGAGGAUCGCAGUGGGACCGGUGUUGGCUCAGAUUGGGAAUCACUGUGCACGCAACGUCGUCACAGGCCCACUCUGCCUGCUACUGUCAGUUGUUAUCCCUUCUGUCUGCUCACCCGGACCGAUCUCUAUUCCAAAUCGCCGAUCCGAAGCCGUAGGCGAAGAUAUGAGCUAGCGGUGGAGUGUCUGGCGAGGAGUCGGUUUGGUAGGACGGAAGUACGAGGCGCUGGCGACCUUCAUUGCUCAUGGUUACAGACAUACGAUUACACCUCUUCUGAGGUGAACCGGAAUGGGGCUACUCGUGGUCAGCG
This 501-nucleotide RNase MRP RNA is filed under the name Tulasnella calospora MUT 4182. RNAcentral describes it as "RNase MRP". It matches the Rfam family "RNase MRP". From Rfam's summary of the family: RNase MRP is an enzymatically active ribonucleoprotein with two distinct roles in eukaryotes. In mitochondria it plays a direct role in the initiation of mitochondrial DNA replication. The record is from Rfam by way of RNAcentral. Lineage: Eukaryota; Fungi; Basidiomycota; Agaricomycetes; Cantharellales; Tulasnellaceae.